CAGUAGCCGCGGGAAUACAGAGGGUGCGAGCGUUAAUCGGAUUUACUGGGCGUAAAGCGUGCGUAGGCGGCUUUUUAAGUCGGAUGUGAAAUCCCUGAGCUUAACUUAGGAAUUGCAUUCGAUACUGGUAAGCUAGAGUAUGGGAGAGGAUGGUAGAAUUCCAGGUGUAGCGGUGAAAUGCGUAGAGAUCUGGAGGAAUACCGAUGGCGAAGGCAGCCAUCUGGCCUAAUACUGACGCUGAGGUACGAAAGCAUGGGGAGCAAACAGGAUUAGAUACCCGUGUAGUCCCUGUCUCUUAUAA
RNAcentral lists this ribosomal RNA (301 nucleotides) under uncultured bacterium. RNAcentral describes it as "partial 16S ribosomal RNA". It matches the Rfam family "Bacterial small subunit ribosomal RNA", at positions 509 to 809 of the family's 1533-position model. The record is from RNAcentral.